AACGAACGCUGGCGGCGUGGAUAAGACAUGCAAGUCGAACGAGAAUUACGAAUAGCUUGCUAAUUGUAAUUCUAGUGGCGGACGGGUGCGUAACACGUGAGCAACCUGCCCUGAAGUGGGGGAUAGCCUUCCGAAAGGAAGAUUAAUACCGCAUGUGGUCUUCGGACCAAAGAUGGCUUCGGCUGUCGCUUCAGGAUGGGCUCGCGGCCUAUCAGCUUGUUGGUGAGGUAACGGCUCACCAAGGCGACGACGGGUAGCUGGUCUGAGAGGACGAUCAGCCACACUGGAACUGAGACACGGUCCAGACACCUACGGGUGGCAGCAGUCGAGAAUCAUUCACAAUGGACGAAAGUCUGAUGGUGCAACGCCGCGUGGAGGAUGAAGGCCCUAGGGUCGUAAACUCCUGUCAUCGGAGAGUAAGCCUUGGUCGUUAAUAGCUUCCAAGGUUGAUAGUAUCCGAAGAGGAAGGGACGGCUAACUUCG
Molecule: ribosomal RNA, 483 nt
Filed under: uncultured Verrucomicrobiaceae bacterium
Lineage: Bacteria; Pseudomonadati; Verrucomicrobiota; Verrucomicrobiia; Verrucomicrobiales; Verrucomicrobiaceae
Description: bacterial SSU rRNA
Rfam family: Bacterial small subunit ribosomal RNA
Source: RNAcentral